RNAcentral lists this ribosomal RNA (407 nucleotides) under uncultured bacterium. Its description in RNAcentral is "partial 16S ribosomal RNA". It matches the Rfam family "Bacterial small subunit ribosomal RNA", at positions 28 to 526 of the family's 1533-position model. The record is from RNAcentral.
GACGAACGCUGGCGGCGUGCCUAAUACAUGCAAGUCGGACGCCGUUGCGAACGGGUGAGUAACGCGUCGGUACCUGCCUAUUAGAGGGGGAUAACUAUUGGAAACGAUAGCUACUACCGCAUACUAGUAGAUGGACCUGCGUUGUAUUAGCUAGUAGGUAGGGUAAUGGCCUACCUAGGCGACGAUACAUAGCCGAACUGAGAGGGUGAGCGGCCACACUGGGACUGAGACAAGGCCCAGACUCCUACGGGAGGCAGCAGUAGGGAAUCUGCGGCAAUGGGGGGAAGCCUGACCGAGCAACGCCGCGUGAGUGAAGAAGGUUUUCGGAUCGUAAAGCUCUGUUGAUAAGGAAGCGGUACUUAAACAGAAAGGGACGGCUAACUACGUGCCAGCAGCCGCGGUAAUAC